UGGGGAAUAUUGCACAAUGGGCGCAAGCCUGAUGCAGCCAUGCCGCGUGUAUGAAGAAGGCCUUCGGGUUGUAAAGUACUUUCAGCGAGGAGGAAGGCGUUGUGGUUAAUAACCGCAACGAUUGACGUUACUCGCAGAAGAAGCACCGGCUAACUCCGUGCCAGCAGCCGCGGUAAUACGGAGGGUGCAAGCGUUAAUCGGAAUUACUGGGCGUAAAGCGCACGCAGGCGGUCUGUCAAGUCGGAUGUGAAAUCCCCGGGCUCAACCUGGGAACUGCAUCCGAAACUGGCAGGCUAGAGUCUUGUAGAGGGGGGUUGAAUUCCAGGUGUAGCGGUGAAAUGCGUAGAGAUCUGGAGGAAUACCGGUGGCGAAGGCGGCCCCCUGGACAAAGACUGACGCUCAGGUGCGAAAGCGUGGGGAGCAAACA
This 427-nucleotide ribosomal RNA is filed under the name uncultured bacterium. Its description in RNAcentral is "partial 16S ribosomal RNA". It matches the Rfam family "Bacterial small subunit ribosomal RNA", at positions 355 to 774 of the family's 1533-position model. The record is from RNAcentral.